AAGUCGUAACAAGGUUUCCGUAGGUGAACCUGCGGAAGGAUCAUUACCGUGGGGCUUCGGCCCCAUUGAGAUAGCACCCUUUGUUUAUGAGUACCCUUGUUUCCUCGGCGGGCUUGCCCGCCAGAGGACAUUCAAAACCCUUUGUAGUAGCAGUAACUUCAGUUAAUAAUAAAUAUUAAAACUUUCAACAACGGAUCUCUUGGUUCUG
This 208-nucleotide unclassified non-coding RNA is filed under the name Ascomycota sp. RNAcentral describes it as "partial contains small subunit ribosomal RNA, internal transcribed spacer 1, and 5.8S ribosomal RNA". The stretch from base 1 to 46 matches the Rfam family "Eukaryotic small subunit ribosomal RNA", at positions 1786 to 1831 of the family's 1831-position model. The record is from RNAcentral. Lineage: Eukaryota; Fungi; Ascomycota.